RNAcentral lists this ribosomal RNA (484 nucleotides) under uncultured bacterium. RNAcentral describes it as "partial 16S ribosomal RNA". It matches the Rfam family "Bacterial small subunit ribosomal RNA", at positions 30 to 507 of the family's 1533-position model. The record is from RNAcentral.
AUUGAACGCUGGCGGCAGGCCUAACACAUGCAAGUCGAGCGGAUGAAGGGAGCUUGCUCCUGGAUUCAGCGGCGGACGGGUGAGUAAUGCCUAGGAAUCUGCCUGGUAGUGGGGGAUAACGUCCGGACACGGGCGCUAAUACCGCAUACGUUCUGAGGGAGAAAGUGGGGGAUCUUCGGACCUCACGCUAUCAGAUGAGCCUAGGUCGGAUUAGCUAGUUGGUGGGGUAAAGGCCUACCAAGGCGACGAUCCGUAACUGGUCUGAGAGGAUGAUCAGUCACACUGGAACUGAGACACGGUCCAGACUCCUACGGGAGGCAGCAGUGGGGAAUAUUGGACAAUGGGCGAAAGCCUGAUCCAGCCAUGCCGCGUGUGUGAAGAAGGUCUUCGGAUUGUAAAGCACUUUAAGUUGGGAGGAAGGGCAGUAAGUUAAUACCUUGCUGUUUUGACGUUACCAACAGAAUAAGCACCGGCUAACUUCGUG